CAUUCAUUAUUUGAGAUCUUUAUUAAUUUCAACCAACAACUAAAGAAAAUUUCAAUAGAACAAUUGUUCUUAUUAUGUAUAUAUUAUGUAUAGUCACAUACUCCUAAUUAUGUUGUAAAAUUUUUCUAAUAGCUCCAGCUUGAGAAUUGCUAAUAGCCGCCUCCUCAACCUCGCAAAUACAAUGUUCAUUCUGGCAAAAUGGGGUCGCGCCACGGCAAAAAUCAAAGCAAUCUUUAGCUGUUUUGCAUGGUUCACCUAUGAAUACCGAACCUUCCACACUCUGUAAGCCUAUAAAAGUCAAAUUUUUAUCAUAAAAUACUACAAAUUUUUAUAUUUAAGUAAAGAUAACACAAAAAUACCAAACUCAUGUAAAAUAUAAUGUCACUAGACAAAUAGUACCAUUUUAUAGGCCAUCUUAUAGCAAAGCCAGGUUAGAAGAAAUAUGGUAAGUUGCAGCUCCUAACCCAAACUAGUUUAGAUUGCCUUGUCCCUUGUUUGGUUACUAAGUUUGGGAUAAGUUUUUCCAUGAUUAAAAAUAGUACCGGGAUAACUUAUAUCUAUCAGAGAGUGGAAUAGUAAUUUAAAGAUAAGUUAUUCAGGAUGAAGCAGUAAAAUUGACAACCCAAAGAUUAAUGCAACAUACCAAACAAUAAAUAAAAAAUAAAACCAGGAUAAUUAAUCCCAGCAUAACUAAUCGCGGGAUAACUUGUGUUCAAACCAAAUGACCCGACAUAGUACUAUUUAAACCUGGAUCUAAUCUAUAUGCACUUAUUAUUAUGAGGACAUACAAGCCUUUAACUAGAACAAAAUAUUCUUCUAAAACAUCAAAUUUAGUGCAAACUAUAGCAAAAACAAAUAAACUUUAAUAUCAAACUUGGUAUACUGUAGGGAUAAUCUUGCAACCAUUUGAUAGAUCAUAUCUUGAAAAUAAUCUUAAAAAGGUUUUGAUAUGCCUUUGCCUAAAGAAGUCCCUGAAAUCAUAGAUCUUUAGGAAUAAUGCUGUGUGAACAUGAAUUUUUACUCAGAAUCCAAACAUUAAAUACAAAAUAUUAAUUUUAUGUUAAGCAUACAAACAUAUCUGCAACUUUGAUUUCCAUUUGAAUGAGAGUAAAGUGGGAGAAAUACCUAUUGUGAUAAGCAUCACACAAACCAUGGAAAACAAAGUGAUGGACGAUAUCUUCCUCAUUGCCAUGUUGAAAAGUGUAGAACAAAUUCGUGACUAGUUGUAACUUACAAAAAUAC
This 1242-nucleotide long non-coding RNA is filed under the name Nicotiana tabacum (common tobacco). RNAcentral's name for it is "long non-coding RNA (NTAB_LNC010228)". The record is from RNAcentral. Lineage: Eukaryota; Viridiplantae; Streptophyta; Magnoliopsida; Solanales; Solanaceae.